GGUUUUUGGCGGGUAGUAUGGCGUUGCCAUGGCCAUUUCGUCAGAUAUUUCCAAGGUCAAAACAAUAAUUGGGGCAGCCAGGCUCUGGGUAGUCGCUCUGAUGUCCGUAGGUUGUCAUGUGAACAGGAAGGCCACCAGCACGGCCUAAGUACGUGAACUUUAAGGAAAGAGGUUCACGGUGAACAUGACGUGCUGCCCCAAACCCGUCCCCAACGAAAAGAAACCCGGGCUCACACCCAGUCCCUUAAAGGUAGAACAAGCGAAGUUCCUCCAGUAGACUUGAUCAAGAAUCUUACGGCCCAGCCCAGCCGAUAAUUUAACAGGCUUGGACACUAAAAUAGGCCCAUAAGACGGGCCUGGGUUAAAAAAGGGGGAAAAGGACGCACAAUUUG
This 392-nucleotide long non-coding RNA is filed under the name Elaeis guineensis (African oil palm). RNAcentral describes it as "long non-coding RNA (EGUI_LNC049887)". Lineage: Eukaryota; Viridiplantae; Streptophyta; Magnoliopsida; Arecales; Arecaceae. The record is from RNAcentral.